RNAcentral lists this microRNA (20 nucleotides) under Homo sapiens (human). Its description in RNAcentral is "hsa-miR-6732-5p". Lineage: Eukaryota; Metazoa; Chordata; Mammalia; Primates; Hominidae. The record is from miRBase by way of RNAcentral.
UAGGGGGUGGCAGGCUGGCC